ACAAAGGCUCUUUUCAGAGCCACCCACCCUGUCAGAGAGAAGGCUG
Molecule: non-coding RNA, 46 nt
Organism: Equus caballus (horse)
Lineage: Eukaryota; Metazoa; Chordata; Mammalia; Perissodactyla; Equidae
Source: Rfam